RNAcentral lists this ribosomal RNA (252 nucleotides) under uncultured Bacteroidales bacterium. RNAcentral describes it as "partial 16S ribosomal RNA". It matches the Rfam family "Bacterial small subunit ribosomal RNA", at positions 524 to 776 of the family's 1533-position model. The record is from RNAcentral. Lineage: Bacteria; Pseudomonadati; Bacteroidota; Bacteroidia; Bacteroidales.
UACGGAGGAUCCGAGCGUUAUCCGGAUUUAUUGGGUUUAAAGGGUGCGUAGGCGGGCUGUUAAGUCAGCGGUCAAAUGUCGGGGCUCAACCCCGGCCUGCCGUUGAAACUGGCGGCCUCGAGUGGGCGAGAAGUAUGCGGAAUGCGCGGUGUAGCGGUGAAAUGCAUAGAUAUCGCGCAGAACUCCGAUUGCGAAGGCAGCAUACCGGCGCUCAACUGACGCUCAUGCACGAAAGUGUGGGUAUCGAACAGG